This 3012-nucleotide ribosomal RNA is filed under the name Triticum aestivum (bread wheat). Its description in RNAcentral is "partial small subunit ribosomal RNA". Lineage: Eukaryota; Viridiplantae; Streptophyta; Magnoliopsida; Poales; Poaceae. The record is from RNAcentral.
AUGGCCAAGUUGCUCGUCAUCCCAAUCAUCGUCAUCCUCCAUGUCGGCAUCAUCGUGCCGAUCGCUAUCCCCGCCGCCGCCGCCGCCAUGGCACAGGCACCAGGAGCAGCAGCGGCAGUACUGGCCGACGACCGGUCCGCGCUCCUCGAUUUCCUCUCCGGCGUCUCGGCCGACCCCGGCGGCGCCCUCGCCGACUGGGGCCGCUCGCCGCGGUUCUGCAACUGGACCGGCGUCGCGUGCGGUCGCGGCCCCGCCGACAGGCGGCGCGUCACGCAGCUGGUGCUCAGCGGCCGGGGGAUACACGGCGUGGUCUCGCCGGCGCUGGGGCGGCUGUCUUUUCUCACGGUGCUUGAUCUGUCCAGCAACGCGUUAGCCGGGGAGAUCCCGGAGGAGAUUGCCGCGCUGUCGAGGCUGACGCAGCUGAGCCUGACGAACAAUUUACUCGAGGGCGCGAUCCCCGCCGGCAUCGGGCUCCUCCAGGAGCUCUACUACCUCGACCUCAGCGGAAAUCGGCUCUCCGGCGGCAUCCCGGAGACGCUGUUCUGCAACUGCUCCGCCCUCCAGUACAUGGAUCUCGCCAACAACUCGCUCGCCGGCGACAUCCCCUACGCUGCCGAGUGCCGUCUCCCUAGCCUCCGGUACCUCCUCCUCUGGUCUAACGAACUGUCCGGCCCGAUCCCGCCGGCGCUGUCCAACUCCGCCAUUCUCGAGUGGGUCGACUUCGAGUCCAACUACCUGGCCGGCGAGCUGCCGUCGAAGGUGUUCGACAGGUUGCCGCGGCUCCAGUACCUCUACCUCUCCUACAACAACCUCUCCAGCCACGACAGCAACACCAACCUCGACCCAUUCUUCCACUCCCUGAGCAACUGCACUCGCCUGCAGGAGCUCGAGCUCGCCGGAAAUGGACUCGGUGGGAGGCUGCCGCCUUUCAUUGGCGAGCUCUCGCGCAGCUUCCGGCAGAUCCACCUCGAGGACAACGCCAUCUCGGGCUCCAUCCCGCCCAACAUCUCCGGCCUCGUCAACCUCACGUACCUCAACCUCUCCAAUAACCUCGUCAACGGCUCCAUCCCGCCGGACUUAUCGCGCAUGCGGCGGCUCGAGCAGCUAUACCUCUCCAACAACUUCCUCUCCGGCGAGAUCCCCCGGUCCAUCGGUGAGCUCCCGCACCUCGGCCUCCUCGACCUCUCCGGCAACCGCCUCGCCGGCGCCAUCCCAGACACGUUCUCCAACCUCACGCAGCUCAGGAGGCUGAUGCUGCACCACAACUGCCUUGCCGGUGCCAUUCCGCCGAGCCUCGGCGAGUGCGACAACCUCGAAAUCCUCGACCUCUCCUACAAUGGCCUCCAGGGCGAGAUCCCGUCGCACGUCGCCGCCAUGAGCAACCUCAAGCUGUACCUGAACCUGUCCAACAACCACCUGGAGGGCUCUCUCCCUCUCGGGCUCAGCAAGAUGGACAUGAUCCUCGCUCUCGACUUGUCGUCCAACGAGCUUGCCGGCACGAUCCCGUCACAGCUCGGCGGCUGCGUCGCGCUCGAGUACCUCAACCUCUCCGGCAACGCGCUGCGGGGCACCCUCCCGGAAGCCGUCGCAGCGCUGCCGUUCCUGGAGGAGAUCGACGUGUCGAGGAACGUGCUCUCGGGUGCCCUGCCAGAGGCCCUGCAGGUGUCCACGUCGCUCCGGGAAGCGGACUUCUCGUACAACAACUUCUCCGGCGUGGUGCCCCGCGCCGGCGUGCUAGCGAACCUGUCCGCGGCUUCGUUCCGAGGCAACCCCAGUCUCUGCAGCGCCGGGCAUAUCCCGGGCAUUGCGACGUGCGGCGCGAGACGUGCCGAUCACCGGCGCGCUGUGGUCCCCGCCGCGUUCGGCAUCGUCGCGGCCGUGUGCAUGAUGCUGUGCGCGGCCGGGUGCCGGUCGAUGGCGACGGCGAGAGCGAGGCGGUGGUCGACGUGGCGCGUGGACAUCGAGGAGCAGGCGUCGGAGAGGGAGCACCCGAGGAUAUCCUACAGGGAGCUCUCGGAGGCCACGGAUGGCUUCGCAGAGUCUCGACUGAUCGGCGCCGGGCGGUUCGGGCGCGUCUACGAGGGGACGCUCCGCGGCAGCGCACGUGUGGCCGUAAAGGUGCUCGCGGACCCGAAGGGCGGCGGCGAGGUCUCCGUCAGCUUCAAGCGCGAGUGCGAGGCGCUCCGGCGGACGCGGCACAAGAACCUCAUCCGGGUGAUCACCACCUGCAGCACGGCCAGCUUCAACGCGCUGGUGCUGCCGCUCAUGCCGCACGGCAGCCUCGAGGCGCACCUCUACCCGCACGACGACAGCGGCGGCGGCGGCAGCAGACUAGGCUUCCGGCAGCUCGUGGGCAUCGCGAGCGACGUGGCCGAGGGGAUGGCCUACCUGCACCACUACGCGCCGGUGAGGGUCGUGCACUGCGACCUCAAGCCGAGCAACGUCCUCCUCGACGAGGGGAUGCGCGCCGUGAUCUCGGACUUCGGCAUCGCGCGGCUCCUCGCCGGCGCCGAAGCCAGCAGCAGCAGCACGAGCAGCGACGACUCCGCCGCUCCGUGCAACUCCAUCGCCACCGGGCUGUUGCAGGGUUCAGUUGGCUACAUUGCACCUGAGUACGGAUUAGGAGGGCACCCGUCGGCGCGGGGCGACGUGUACAGCUUCGGCGUGCUGAUCCUGGAGCUGCUCACCGGGAAGCGGCCGACGGACGUGAUCUUCGACGAGGGGCUGACGCUGCAUGACUGGGUCAGGCGGCACUACCCGCACGACGUCGCCGCCGCCGUCGCCCAUGCGCCGUGGCGGCAGGGAGGCGCGGUGGCCGACAUGGCGGUCGUGGAGCUGAUCGAGCUCGGGCUGGCGUGCACGCAGCAUUCGCCGGCGCUGCGGCCCACCAUGGCGGACGUCUGCCACGACAUCACCAUGAUAAAGGACGGCCUGGCCAAGCACGCCGGCGCCGACGACGGUGACCGGUCGUUCUCCACGGUCAAGGACUCGCUCUUCUCCAACUCAAGUUAA